This 484-nucleotide ribosomal RNA is filed under the name uncultured bacterium. Its description in RNAcentral is "partial 16S ribosomal RNA". It matches the Rfam family "Bacterial small subunit ribosomal RNA", at positions 30 to 507 of the family's 1533-position model. The record is from RNAcentral.
AUUGAACGCUGGCGGCAGGCCUAACACAUGCAAGUCGAGCGGAUGAAGGGAGCUUGCUCCUGGAUUCAGCGGCGGACGGGUGAGUAAUGCCUAGGAAUCUGCCUGGUAGUGGGGGAUAACGUCCGGAAACGGGCGCUAAUACCGCAUACGUCCUGAGGGAGAAAGUGGGGGAUCUUCGGACCUCACGCUAUCAGAUGAGCCUAGGUCGGAUUAGCUAGUUGGUGGGGUAAAGGCCUACCAAGGCGACGAUCCGUAACUGGUCUGAGAGGAUGAUCAGUCACACUGGAACUGAGACACGGUCCAGACUCCUACGGGAGGCAGCAGUGGGGAAUAUUGGACAAUGGGCGAAAGCCUGAUCCAGCCAUGCCGCGUGUGUGAAGAAGGUCUUCGGAUUGUAAAGCACUUUAAGUUGGGAAGAAGGGCAGUAAGUUAAUACCUUGCUGUUUUGACGUUACCAACAGAACAAGCACCGGCUAACUUCGUG